AUAUAUAUUGAUUAAAAUAAAAAUAAAAAAAAUAAAAAAAAAUGUGCAGCGCCGCCGUGGCGACAUAUUUGCUCUGGGGAAGCUGCCUAACCCGUUUUUUCAAUUUGUUCUCCGCGUCAUCUCCUCCUCAAUUCU
RNAcentral lists this non-coding RNA (135 nucleotides) under Coscinodiscus wailesii. Lineage: Eukaryota; Bacillariophyta; Coscinodiscophyceae; Coscinodiscales; Coscinodiscaceae. The record is from RNAcentral.